GUAAGAUAAGCUAAACUAAGCUAGUGGGUUCAUACCCCAAAAAUGAGUAUAACUCUCUUACUA
This 63-nucleotide transfer RNA is filed under the name Gastrostomobdella ampunganensis. RNAcentral's name for it is "tRNA-Met". Lineage: Eukaryota; Metazoa; Annelida; Clitellata; Hirudinida; Gastrostomobdellidae. The record is from RNAcentral.